Molecule: ribosomal RNA, 474 nt
Filed under: uncultured bacterium
Lineage: Bacteria
Description: bacterial SSU rRNA
Rfam family: Bacterial small subunit ribosomal RNA
Source: RNAcentral
GAUGAACGCUAGCGGCAGGCUUAACACAUGCAAGUCGAGGGGCAUCACGGGUAGCAAUACCUGGUGGCGACCGGCGCAAAGGGUGCGUAACGCGUGAGCAACAUGCCCUAUACAGGGGGAUAAUCCAGGGAAACUUGGUCUAAUAUCCCAUAGCAUUUAGAGGUGGCAUCACCAUUAAAUUAAAGCUUCGGUGGUAUAGGAUUGGCUCGCGUGACAUUAGCUAGAUGGUGGGGUAACGGCUCACCAUGGCUAUGAUGUCUAGGGGUUCUGAGAGGAAGACCCCCCACACUGGGACUGAGACACGGCCCAGACUCCUACGGGAGGCAGCAGUGAGGAAUAUUGGACAAUGGAUGGAAAUCUGAUCCAGCCAUGCCGCGUGCAGGAAGACGGCCCUAUGGGUUGUAAACUGACUUUUAUAUGGGAGCAUAAGGUCUACGAGUAGACCGAUGAGAGUACCAUAUGAAUAAGCAUCGG